RNAcentral lists this ribosomal RNA (449 nucleotides) under uncultured bacterium. Its description in RNAcentral is "partial 16S ribosomal RNA". It matches the Rfam family "Bacterial small subunit ribosomal RNA", at positions 338 to 795 of the family's 1533-position model. The record is from RNAcentral.
CCUACGGGGGGCAGCAGUACGGAAUAUUGGACAAUGGGCGCAAGCCUGAUCCAGCCAUGCCGCGUGCAGGAUGACGGCCCUAUGGGUUGUAAACUGCUUUUAUACGGGAAAAAACCCCUCUACGUGUAGAGGGCUGAUGGUACCGUAAGAAUAAGGAUCGGCUAACUCCGUGCCAGCAGCCGCGGUAAUACGGAGGAUCCGAGCGUUAUCCGGAGUAAGUGGGUGUAGAGGGUGCGGAAAGUGAUUGGUGAAAUCCUGCAGCGUAACUGUAGAACUGCCAUUGAUACUGCAAGUCUUGAGUACAUAUGAUGUGGGCGGAAUGUGUAGUGUAGCGGUGAAAUGCUUAGAUAUUACACAGAACACCAAUUGCGAAGGCAGCUCACAAAACUGUAACUGACGCUGAGGCACGAAAGCGUGGGGAGUGAACAGGAUUAGAUACCCCAGUAGUC